This 274-nucleotide ribosomal RNA is filed under the name uncultured bacterium. RNAcentral describes it as "partial 16S ribosomal RNA". It matches the Rfam family "Bacterial small subunit ribosomal RNA", at positions 523 to 796 of the family's 1533-position model. The record is from RNAcentral.
AUACGGAGGGUCCAAGCGUUAUCCGGAAUCAUUGGGUUUAAAGGGUCCGUAGGCGGGCAAUUAAGUCAGAGGUGAAAUCCCACAGCUCAACUGUGGAACUGCCUUUGAUACUGGUUGUCUUGAAUUAUAGUGAAGUAGAUAGAAUAUGUAGUGUAGCGGUGAAAUGCUUAGAUAUUACAUUGAAUACCGAUUGCGAAGGCAGUCUACUAACUGUAUAUUGACGCUGAUGGACGAAAGCGUGGGGAGCGAACAGGAUUAGAAACCCUAGUAGUCC